RNAcentral lists this ribosomal RNA (424 nucleotides) under Fusobacteriota bacterium. Its description in RNAcentral is "Fusobacteria bacterium partial 16S ribosomal RNA". It matches the Rfam family "Bacterial small subunit ribosomal RNA", at positions 355 to 776 of the family's 1533-position model. Lineage: Bacteria; Fusobacteriati; Fusobacteriota. The record is from RNAcentral.
UGAGGAAUAUUGGUCAAUGGGCGAGAGCCUGAACCAGCCAAGUAGCGUGCAGGAUGACGGCCCUAUGGGUUGUAAACUGCUUUUAUGUGGGGAUAAAGUGCGUGACGUGUCAUGCAUUGCAGGUACCACAUGAAUAAGGACCGGGUAAUUCCGUGCCAGCAGCCGCGGUAAUACGGAAGGUCCGGGCGUUAUCCGGAUUUAUUGGGUUUAAAGGGAGCGUAGGCUGUCUAUUAAGCGUGUUGUGAAAUUUACCGGCUCAACCGGUGGCUUGCAGCGCGAACUGGUCGACUUGAGUAUGCAGGAAGUAGGCGGAAUUCAUGGUGUAGCGGUGAAAUGCUUAGAUAUCAUGACGAACUCCGAUUGCGCAGGCAGCUUACUGUAGCAUAACUGACGCUGAUGCUCGAAAGUGCGGGUAUCAAACAGG